This 1098-nucleotide long non-coding RNA is filed under the name Urocitellus parryii (Arctic ground squirrel). Its description in RNAcentral is "lncRNA (ENSUPAG00010020833.1)". The record is from RNAcentral. Lineage: Eukaryota; Metazoa; Chordata; Mammalia; Rodentia; Sciuridae.
AUGAAAACACCGGAAGAAAAGCUGGACAAGAUGGUCCCUACCUGUUUGAACUGUUUGACACAGGGAAGGCAGAAGUUCCUUUGUCACCAGACAUCUAAACAUCAUCAGCUCCAUUUGUCACCUCUUGUGCCCAGAGUCCUGGGUAGCAUUCCACAGGGCCAGUUCCUGAAUGGCAGCAGUGAAGAUGUUGGGUGGAGGCCUCUGGAAGCCAUCCUUACCUUGCUUCUUCAACAAAAGUGAUACCAGUUAAGUAUUCAUUCAACCAGGAACCCUGAAUAUCUGCACUGUACCACAGGAUGGUUAUAGAACCCUCCAUUACAGAAAACUGGAAAAGAAGAAAAACUGAAAACCACCUAUCUCAGUUCUCAGUUACACACAGUUAAUGUUCAGGUAUGUGUUGCCUCCCCCAGCCCUAUAUCAUUUUAUAGCUUCAGUUCUUUAAAGACAUAGAAAAUCUUAAAGUAACACGUGGUAGCUAAAAUUUGGUAAAUUCUGAAAAGAGUUAAGAAAGAACCAAUUUAUGUUGAGGGAAAAUUAAAGGUAUUUGCCAUGCCGUUUCAAGGAAAUCUUUCUUGGACACACAAACGAUCAGUAAGCUCACAUUCUUUGCCUAUAGGCAACAAUUCCUUGCUAUUCAUCUUCUCAUUAGCUGAUAUUAGGAUAUCCUCUAUUCAUCUAAAUGCAAUUUUUAAAGAAAUUGUGAAAGUUUUUAGUUAUAGAGCUUAUACAUUUAAGCUUUUCUGGAUUUGUAAUCUUUAAUAAGCUGAUAUUUUAUAAUAUUUAGUUCUCUUUCUGCAUCAUUGACAAGUUUUAGUAUAUGGAUUAAGAAAUGUUUUAUCUUACAGAUAAAAUAUACAAAUUAGUAAGGAUUGCAGAAGCUUUUUAAAAAGUUGGGUUAACUAUAGAUUUUAUAGAAAAGCUUCAAAAUUAGUACAGAGUUACUAUGCCCUGCUUUCAGCUUCCACUAAUGCUAACACCUUCUAUAAAUAUUACAGGUUUGUCAAAACUAACUUGUUUGCAUCAGGAUGACACUAACUAGGAUUCUUUAUUUAGAUUUUGCCAGUUUUGAGCUGGGAAUGUGGCUCAAGCAGUAGUGCG